CAAAAUGUUUUAAAAUAGAAAACAUUAAAAGAGUAUCCAUUUUUUAUUUUAUGUAAUUUGGGAAGAAAAUAGUACAGAGAUUAAAUUAAAAGAUAGAUUUAAAACUCUACUUUUUUAAGCUUAAAAACUUUAAAAGUAAGACAUUCAUGUUAUGUAAGACAGUUUUUUAAUAUAAAUCGUACCAUGAUAUGAUCUCGUUGAAUUUUGUGGAACGUAACAUAAACUGCAAGGACAACGUGAUCGCCAUGUGCUCAAGGGAUGCCAUAAGAGUGCUUUAUUCGAUCUGUGAGAUAUAUGAUAUUAGUGAGAUAUGUAACACUGUUAUAUCGCGCUAACGAAAUUAUACGUAAUCACAUUGGGUUUCUUGCUGGAAAAGGUAGAAUGUCGGUUUCAGUGCUACAAACAUGUUUUACUCCAAAUAUGUGAUUUUUGCGACAUUCUGGUGGAUCCUCGCAACGACUGGGGACAAUUUCUUUCGAAAUGAAGAUAUUUGCGGAUCUCACAAUGGCAGACGUUUGUAUCUGGAGCUUGGCGAGAAGGGCAUCCUCUAUGCAAAAAAUGUUACCUUCGUCAGAAAUUUAUUGAGACAGUCAGUGUCGCAUCUUUAUGAUACCAUCAACAGUUCUCAUUAUCAAUGCAAUCUCGAAUUAGUGACCUGUCCAUCCUGCGUAAUAAUUAUCACUUUCAAGAACAUCGCGCUUCCAUAUCAUUGUGGCGAUGGAGGAGUCGUAAUGGAUAGUCCAUGCAGGUGCGACUACGUGUGGCUCUCGGAACCACCUUAUGAACAAGUUUCUGGCUCGCCCUUUUGUGGAUUAUAUGCACCGAUCACAUAUAGAUCAAGCACAAGAACUCUAUCUAUAACUCUACUCUACAGUCAAUCUUACAAACACGCGUUUACCAUCGAAUAUACAGCUGAAAGAAAUAGAUUGCAUUUGAAAGGAACGGAAAUAACAUCGAGAGCCUUGACGAAAGGUUUAAACGGUACUGGCGGUGGUAUUCUGACUUCGCCGUUUUUCCCGGCUCGAUAUCCUCGUGACUUGGGUUUGGAAUAUAUCAUAACGUGUCCCAGCGAAGCCUCUUCCUGUCGCAUUAGGUUAUUGUUUAGCGACUUUCAAUUAGCGACGGUUUCCAUAAUAGAGUUCUAUGAUUGGAACGGACAACGUUUGGACGUGAGUAGUGGUGCGCGAUUUCGGCCGCCAGUGAUAGUAAGCUCUGGUCCGUCGUUGCUAAUAAGAUUCUAUGCAAAUGGUGGUACCGGUCUUGGUUACAAAGCUUUUUAUUCUUUCGUCAUUGGUCAUACGUAUGAUAAAUCCAUACAACCGAUCACCGACUGUGGUGGAUACGUAGAAAAUCUGGGUGGCACCAUCACGAUGAUAAAUAUGGUCGAUCGAGGAGUAAAGAUUUACGAUUGUGUUUGGCUAAUUAGACCACCUAAGAGUUUCUUACAUAUGAAGACGCACAUGUAUUUGAAAGUAGUGGGUUUUGCUGAUAUGGCUGGUAAUACGGAAUUAAUCAUCAAGGAAGGUCCGACUUCUGCCCUGAUGUUGUUGGAAGUAACUCGACAUCCAACGAGUCAAUUACAACCACUCAUGCACAGGGAACAUGUGGUGCCAGUUACCAGCGGAUUCUACGUGAGUCUUCGUGGUAUAUUCGGAUCGAGUUCUUACUUGGCCAUUGCUUAUGCUGCCUUUAGUUACACUGGUAAGUCUGUUUUUAACAAUGAUAAUCGCAAAAUAAUUAUUUUAUUUCAAUUGAGUUUAUAUUACUAUUACUGUUUGUCUUUGAUUGAAUUAUACAUUUUAGAUUGUUUUGCAAGCACUGAUUUUCUAUGCCAAAAUCAUAGGUGUAUUCCAAGUCAACUGAAUUGCGACGAUUUUGAUCAUUGCGGUGAUAAUAGCGAUGAACCAGUGAAGUGCUUUCAAGAUUGGCAAGAGGAGCUACGCAAUCACAAAUGGCAUAUGAACAGAGCGAAUUAUUACUUUUCAAAGACUAAUCGAUAUCCAGAUUUGAAAACGGCCAUUCUGGUAUUCGUUGUUAGUAGCUUUGGUCUGAUCGUUCUGAUAUCGGCGCUUAUUAUACUACUGUAUAGAAUAGGAGCAAGAGCUAGACAACAAAGAGAACUACAGUCUCGUCUGGAAACAAUCAGCGAACUUCUAGAUGGUGCACGGAUCGAAGAAAUAUCUAUUUCGGAUGAUCCACCUAGCUAUGAGGCACCACCGGAUUAUGACGAAGUCGCGAAACUCUUUUUGUCGAAGAAGGCUCAAUGCUUGAAUCGAGAGAAUGACAGAGCUUGCAACAGAAAUCAGCACGACGAGGGUGUGAAUUCUACUUAUUUGAUCGUGGAAGGCGCGAGCAAUAGUCGUAGCAAUCAAACAACUUCGAUAAUAUCAAGAAAUAAUCGACAUGUACUACAUACACCCGAGAGUCCACCGCCUCCGUAUAUAACACCUCCAGGAACUAUAUUGAGAAACAUGAAUCUAGCUAGUUUGUCGGCAUCGAUGAAACAGAUUUGUCCUAUUCGUCGCACUUGGUUUCGACGCAGCGCGCAAUAUCCUCAGUCCUCUUGUAGCGAUCGUCCAUCUCCCGGUGGUUCAUUCUUAUUCACGAAUGCUGAGACUUCUUGUAUACGUCGAGCGGAUUAUGUUGUUUCGGAUUCGAUAAAUCGUCAGUUCGAAAAUUCUCCGAAAGAAGUUCGGAUUAUACAUAAAAUUGUCCAAGAAAAUACUACAGAAGUAUUGGAAGAAAAUAACCGAUCCGUUUCAGAAGAGGAGUCUGAUGAACUCGUUGAUAAAGUUGACAGUUUGGACGGAAGAAACGUCAAUUGUUCCUGUGAGGGUGCAUGCGGUUGUGCUAUUAGCUGUAUUAAUCUGCAAGAUCUUCCAAUCAACCCGUCAAUUUCUGUAACAAGUGUCGAAGAUCGUGAAAUAUAGAAAUUAAAACAAACAGCAAUUAUAUCCAUGAAAAAGCAUCAAGAGGAUAAUUUUUCUAUUUCGAGAAGUACUAUCAUUAAACUUUGGGGUUCUAAGCUGGCGAAACCAUCCCAUCAUAACACCAAUUUGACAGUCGCCUUAUCAUCUUGUAACACUUGGCGUCGUUCCUCCAAAAAAUUCUCUCAUGUGUUGAAAAAUGUCAAACACAUUGAGCAAUACAUCGAAGAGUGUUAUUGGCUAUCGAGAAUAUUACAAUGACCGGCGAUACUUUAGCUGUGACUUGGACAGUAUAUAUGGUAGCAUCAAGGUUCUCGAUCUGGUGCAUAGAAAUUUCAUUGUAGAAGGCCACGAAUAUUGACAAUCAAUCAUAAUACUAUUUGGUACAUUGAAACACGGACCUACAUAUAAUUUAAUCGCAUCGUCGCAGCAAAGGAAAAGAGAAGUAUAUACGCUCUUGUACUUGGUGUUCUAGCGAAGACGUCUUGUCUAAUUAAUUCAUUUGAUGGAACAAAUUUACAACAGAAAGGUAAUCGAGUUUAUGUAACUAUGUUAAUUUUUUUAUUAAUGUGAUAAUUAAAAAAAAUAUAUUAUUGACCUGUGUACGUAUAUAUAAUUUA
Molecule: unclassified non-coding RNA, 3547 nt
Filed under: Monomorium pharaonis (pharaoh ant)
Lineage: Eukaryota; Metazoa; Arthropoda; Insecta; Hymenoptera; Formicidae
Description: uncharacterized LOC105831571, transcript variant X1
Source: RNAcentral